This 259-nucleotide ribosomal RNA is filed under the name uncultured Leptotrichia sp. RNAcentral's name for it is "partial 16S ribosomal RNA". It matches the Rfam family "Bacterial small subunit ribosomal RNA", at positions 96 to 356 of the family's 1533-position model. Lineage: Bacteria; Fusobacteriati; Fusobacteriota; Fusobacteriia; Fusobacteriales; Leptotrichiaceae. The record is from RNAcentral.
UGGCGGGCGGGUGAGUAACGCGUAAAGAACUUGCCCUUUAGACUGGGAUAACAGAGGGAAACUUCUGAUAAUACUGGAUAAGUUAGUAUAUCGCAUGAUAUGCAAAUGAAAGCUACGGCACUAAAGGAGAGCUUUGCGUCCUAUUAGCUAGUUGGUAAGGUAAGAGCUUACCAAGGCGAUGAUAGGUAGCCGGCCUGAGAGGGUGGACGGCCACAAGGGGACUGAGAUACGGCCCUUACUCCUACGGGAGGCAGCAGCG